RNAcentral lists this ribosomal RNA (684 nucleotides) under Bacillus licheniformis. RNAcentral describes it as "partial 23S ribosomal RNA". It matches the Rfam family "Bacterial large subunit ribosomal RNA", at positions 141 to 858 of the family's 2925-position model. The record is from RNAcentral. Lineage: Bacteria; Bacillati; Bacillota; Bacilli; Caryophanales; Bacillaceae.
CCUCUAAGCAUUCGUACAUGAAUCCAUAGUGUACGAAGGAGACACCAGGUGAACUGAAACAUCUAAGUAACCUGAGGAAAAGAAAGAAAAGAAUCGAUUUCCUAAGUAGCGGCGAGCGAACGGGAAAGAGCCCGACUGAAGUCAAUGAAUUCCGAAGGCGUAGAAGAAUCCUCUGGGAAGAGGAGCCGAAGAGAGUAAAAGCCUCGUAUUCGAAAGGCGGUAGGAUCAGACUUCGACAGAGUACCACGGGGCACGUGAAACCCCGUGGGAAUAUGGGAGGACCACCUCCUAAGGCUAAAUACUACUUGGUGACCGAUAGCGAACAGUACCGUGAGGGAAAGGUGAAAAGAACCCCGGGAGGGGAGUGAAAUAGAAUCUGAAACCUAACGUCCACAAACAGAGAAAGUUCAUUAUUGGAACAAUCUCGUACUUUUUGUAGAACGGGCCAGCGAGUUAUGAUACGUAGCAAGGUUAAGGCAUCCAGUGCCGGAGCCGAAGGGAAACCGAGUCUGAACAGGGCAAAAGUUGCGUGUCAUAGACCCGAAACCGGGUGACCUAUCCAUGGGCAGAGUGAAGUUGAAGUAAAAUUCAAUGGAGGCUCGAACCUUUUAACGUUUAAAAGUUAUAGGAUGACCUGUGGAUAGGGGUGAAAAGCCAAACGAACUCGGAGAUAGCUGGUUCUCC